Molecule: non-coding RNA, 23 nt
Filed under: Drosophila melanogaster (fruit fly)
Lineage: Eukaryota; Metazoa; Arthropoda; Insecta; Diptera; Drosophilidae
Source: RNAcentral
UAACCGUUGCUCAGCAAGAAGCC